Molecule: ribosomal RNA, 497 nt
Filed under: uncultured bacterium
Lineage: Bacteria
Description: partial 16S ribosomal RNA
Rfam family: Bacterial small subunit ribosomal RNA
Source: RNAcentral
GAUGAACGCUGGCGGCGUGCCUAAUACAUGCAAGUCGAGCGAACAGACGAGGAGCUUGCUCCUCUGACGUUAGCGGCGGACGGGUGAGUAACACGUGGAUAACCUACCUAUAAGACUGGGAUAACUUCGGGAAACCGGAGCUAAUACCGGAUAAUAUAUUGAACCGCAUGGUUCAAUAGUGAAAGACGGUUUUGCUGUCACUUAUAGAUGGAUCCGCGCCGCAUUAGCUAGUUGGUAAGGUAACGGCUUACCAAGGCAACGAUGCGUAGCCGACCUGAGAGGGUGAUCGGCCACACUGGAACUGAGACACGGUCCAGACUCCUACGGGAGGCAGCAGUAGGGAAUCUUCCGCAAUGGGCGAAAGCCUGACGGAGCAACGCCGCGUGAGUGAUGAAGGUCUUCGGAUCGUAAAACUCUGUUAUUGGGGAAGAAAAGAUGUGUAAGUAACUAUGCACGUCUUGACGGUACCUAAUCAGAAAGCCACGGCUAACUACGUG